This 255-nucleotide ribosomal RNA is filed under the name uncultured bacterium. RNAcentral's name for it is "partial 16S ribosomal RNA". It matches the Rfam family "Bacterial small subunit ribosomal RNA", at positions 524 to 776 of the family's 1533-position model. The record is from RNAcentral.
UACAGAGGGUGCGAGCGUUGUCCGGAAUCAUUGGGCGUAAAGCGCGCGUAGGCGGCCCGGUAAGUCCGCUCUGAAAGUCCAGGGCUCAACCCUGGAAAGCGGGUGGAUACUGCCGGGCUAGAAUCCGGAAGAGGAGAGUGGAAUUCCUGGUGUAGCGGUGAAAUGCGCAGAUAUCAGGAGGAACACCAACGGCGAAGGCAGCUCUCUGGGACGUUACUGACGCUGAGACGCGAAAAGCGUGGGGGAGCAAACAGG